RNAcentral lists this ribosomal RNA (430 nucleotides) under Trichoderma koningiopsis. RNAcentral's name for it is "eukaryotic LSU rRNA". The stretch from base 115 to 268 matches the Rfam family "5.8S ribosomal RNA". Lineage: Eukaryota; Fungi; Ascomycota; Sordariomycetes; Hypocreales; Hypocreaceae. The record is from RNAcentral.
UGCGUCGCAGCCCCGGAACCAGGCGCCCGCCGGAGGGACCAACCAAACUCUUUCUGUAGUCCCCUCGCGGACGUUAUUUCUUACAGCUCUGAGCAAAAAUUCAAAAUGAAUCAAAACUUUCAACAACGGAUCUCUUGGUUCUGGCAUCGAUGAAGAACGCAGCGAAAUGCGAUAAGUAAUGUGAAUUGCAGAAUUCAGUGAAUCAUCGAAUCUUUGAACGCACAUUGCGCCCGCCAGUAUUCUGGCGGGCAUGCCUGUCCGAGCGUCAUUUCAACCCUCGAACCCCUCCGGGGGGUCGGCGUUGGGGAUCGGGAACCCCUAAGACGGGAUCCCGGCCCCGAAAUACAGUGGCGGUCUCGCCGCAGCCUCUCCUGCGCAGUAGUUUGCACAACUCGCACCGGGAGCGCGGCGCGUCCACGUCCGUAAAACA